RNAcentral lists this ribosomal RNA (253 nucleotides) under uncultured bacterium. RNAcentral describes it as "partial 16S ribosomal RNA". It matches the Rfam family "Bacterial small subunit ribosomal RNA", at positions 524 to 776 of the family's 1533-position model. The record is from RNAcentral.
UACGGAGGGGGCUAGCGUUGUUCGGAAUUACUGGGCGUAAAGCGCGUGUAGGCUGCUUGGAAAGUCGGAUGUGAAAGCCCUGGGCUCAACCUAGGAAGUGCAUUCGAAACUUCUGAGCUGGAGUGCUGGAGAGGAAGGCGGAAUUCUCGGUGUAGAGGUGAAAUUCGUAGAUAUCGAGAGGAACACCGGUGGCGAAGGCGGCCUUCUGGACAGUAACUGACGCUGAGACGCGAAAGCGUGGGGAGCAAACAGG